AGUGCUAUGAGUCUUGAUAAAUUGGAGAAGAGCCCAAGAGAAAUUUUUCAUCCCUUGAUAUAAAAGGGAUCGGUGAAUUUUAACUUUGGAGUCCUCUAUGCUAAGGAUGCUCAGCUUACAGAUGGUGAAAUAUUCAGUAAUGUAUUUGCUGCAGCUCUGCGAACCCAAGCUUUGGGUUCCUUCUGUCCCACUGGGAGUUGCCCAAUUUGGUUGCAUCUGGUGAAAUUCACCCUGAGACCUUACAGAAGCAGCUCCAACUACGUGAGAGCCAUUUGCAGCUCUCUCCAGACACCUGGAGAAUGGGUGACGUUUCUGAGGAUCCGGCGAGCGUGCUUCUAUCAAAACUCAGUCUGUGAAAUUUCUGGGGAAAACCCUUCUGUGUCCUAAAGGGUUCAAACUCUGGUGAGGAUCCAGUUAUCAGGUGCUCACCUGGAUGGUUCCAGCUCCCAAAGGGAAAGACUCUCGUAUCCUUGUCGUUGGGCUCGGUGCUGUCCAAGAAGAUACAGAGACUACAAAAACCAUAAGAAGCAAAAUAUGACUGCAGGGAAAAGAAGCUGGAGGGAACAGAAGACUCAUCACGGCGGGACAGCGUGAAGACUGAAAGUGUAAGAAGAUGUGGAGGGAAACAGAGAAUCUGACAGGAGCAGCGGACGCACGAGUGCACGAAUUUUGCUUUUUGCUUGGAUGUAAACUCAGGAGUUGAAAGGAAUUUGGGAGUGAGAAGGGACAUUUCAGAAGGAGAAGAAGAAAAAGAAGUUGUUGUUGUUGUUGCUACAGUCCUGGCAAAAGCUUUUGUUCUAGGUAA
Long non-coding RNA from Melospiza georgiana, 805 nucleotides. RefSeq lists it as uncharacterized. The transcript has 5 exons. NCBI's taxonomy places the organism in Eukaryota, Metazoa, Chordata, Aves, Passeriformes, Passerellidae. The record is from RefSeq and is a predicted model, not a curated record.